CUCCUACGGGAGGCAGCAGGUAAGGAAUAGUUGGUCAAGUCGGGACGGAAGUCUACGAACCAGCCAUCGCCGCGUGCGAAGGAAGGACCGGACCCGUUACGGGUUAGUAAACUGUCUUUUGCGAGGGAACUAAACCCGGUAUGUAGUACCGGGUUAGAAUGUACUCUGAGAUAAGGAUCGGCUAACUCCGUGCCAGCCGCCGCGGUAAUACC
This 212-nucleotide ribosomal RNA is filed under the name uncultured bacterium. RNAcentral's name for it is "partial 16S ribosomal RNA". It matches the Rfam family "Bacterial small subunit ribosomal RNA", at positions 336 to 527 of the family's 1533-position model. The record is from RNAcentral.